GCUAGCAAGAACUUGUCAUUAUAUGAUUUUUUUAACAAAUCAUAUCAUUUGUUUAUUACAUGAUGAAAAAUAUUUGGCAGAUAUAAUAUGAAUUUCUGAAGUUUGGAACAAGCGAAACACCAACCUAGUGGAUUUCUUUUUCCAUUAAAUUCAAUAUGUGAAGUUGUGAAAAUACAUACAUAUUAUAAAUAUUCUUCAACUAUCUCAUAACAACUUACAAAUCUUAGGUCAAAGUUGUUAUUAACACAACUUGACAUUGACGAAGAAUUUUGAACCGUUCUUUUCCCCAGAAGCUUAAAAAAAACUCACUAUUCUUUGAAAACUUCUCCAAAGCCUUCAAAUUCUUCAACAUACAAAACCUUGCAUCUCUAUACUCAUAGACUCUUUUCUCCUUUCCGAAUCAAGCCCUGUAUUUUCUCGACAUUCACAAGUGAGCCCCGUUCUUUUUAUCCUUUAGUUUAUCCCCCAUUUUGCAUAAAACUUUCUCGUGUUCUUGACCAGCUUUUCAGGGAGUCAAGGAAGAUAAAGAUUGAGAUUUGGAGAACAAGAGGUUGCAACAACACGAUACAACAAGGCAAUCAGCUACAAAUGUGUUAAGAUGUUCUAUGGAAUCUUGAAGGAGAAAGACAAUGGAAGAGAUUAAAGAACAAACUGAAUCCUAACAUAUUGUAGUAAUUUGGAAUAUUUGGUUUGAAGGAACUCCUUGGUAUUGCUUCUAUAUAAGGAAGACAUUGGGAGAAGGCUAAUUAAGGAAGCACAUAUAAUAAAUGAAGUUAUAUGGAGUAUAAUUUUUAGAUAAUAUAAUGUGUGAAGAGAUUGACAAAAAAUAAUAAUAAUGUGUGAACAG
This 847-nucleotide long non-coding RNA is filed under the name Brassica napus (rape). RNAcentral describes it as "long non-coding RNA (BNAP_LNC007777)". Lineage: Eukaryota; Viridiplantae; Streptophyta; Magnoliopsida; Brassicales; Brassicaceae. The record is from RNAcentral.